Molecule: ribosomal RNA, 460 nt
Filed under: uncultured bacterium
Lineage: Bacteria
Description: partial 16S ribosomal RNA
Rfam family: Bacterial small subunit ribosomal RNA
Source: RNAcentral
CCUACGGAGGGCAGCAGUGAGGAAUAUUGGUCAAUGGGCUUACGCCUGAACCAGCCAAGUCGCGUGAGGGAAGACUGCCCUAUGGGUUGUAAACCUCUUUUGUCAGGGAGCAACGCCGGCUACGUGUAGCCGGACUGAGAGUACCUGAAGAAAAAGCAUCGGCUAACUCCGUGCCAGCAGCCGCGGUAAUACGGAGGAUGCGAGCGUUAUCCGGAUUUAUUGGGUUUAAAGGGUGCGUAGGCGGAAUGCCAAGUCAGCGGUAAAAUCGCGGGGCUCAACCUCGCUCCGCCGUUGAAACUGGGGUUCUUGAGUGGGCGAGAAGUAUGCGGAAUGCGUGGUGUAGCGGUGAAAUGCAUAGAUAUCACGCAGAACUCCGAUUGCGAAGGCAGCAUACCGGCGCCCAACUGACGCUGAAGCACGAAAGCGUGGGUAUCGAACAGGAUUAGAUACCCUAGUAGUC